AUUGAACGCUGGCGGCAGGCCUAACACAUGCCAGUCGAGCGGAUGAAGGGAGCUUGCUCCUGGAUUCAGCGGCGGACGGGUGAGUAAUGCCUAGGAAUCUGCCUGGUAGUGGGGGAUAACGUCCGGAAACGGGCGCUAAUACCGCAUACGUCCUGAGGGAGAAAGUGGGGGAUCUUCGGACCUCACGCUAUCAGAUGAGCCUAGGUCGGAUUAGCUAGUUGGUGGGGUAAAGGCCUACCAAGGCGACGAUCCGUAACUGGUCUGAGAGGAUGAUCAGUCACACUGGAACUGAGACACAGUCCAGACUCCUACGGGAGGCAGCAGUGGGGAAUAUUGGACAAUGGGCGAAAGCCUGAUCCAGCCAUGCCGCGUGUGUGAAGAAGGUCUUCGGAUUGUAAAGCACUUUAAGUUGGGAGGAAGGGCAGUAAGUUAAUACCUUGCUGUUUUGACGUUACCAACAGAAUAAGCACCGGCUAACUUCGUGC
RNAcentral lists this ribosomal RNA (485 nucleotides) under uncultured bacterium. Its description in RNAcentral is "partial 16S ribosomal RNA". It matches the Rfam family "Bacterial small subunit ribosomal RNA", at positions 30 to 508 of the family's 1533-position model. The record is from RNAcentral.